CGGGAAGGCAGGGGAAAGUGGGGACGGCUAAUGGGUACAAAAAUAUAGAAUUAAUAAGACCUAAUAUUUGCUAGCCAAAGAAAGUGACUAUAAUAAA
Molecule: long non-coding RNA, 97 nt
Organism: Sapajus apella (tufted capuchin)
Lineage: Eukaryota; Metazoa; Chordata; Mammalia; Primates; Cebidae
Exons: 3
Source: RefSeq, a predicted model, not a curated record